AAUACACUUCCUCUGUCUUAAAAUUCUUAUCUUACAUUUGUCUAGAUAUGAAUGUAUCUAACACUAAAUCGUAACUAAAUACAUCCGUAUUUAAACAAAUCUAAGAUACGAAUUAGGACGGAGGGAGUAUUAA
Molecule: non-coding RNA, 133 nt
Organism: Triticum urartu
Lineage: Eukaryota; Viridiplantae; Streptophyta; Magnoliopsida; Poales; Poaceae
Source: Rfam